This 314-nucleotide unclassified non-coding RNA is filed under the name uncultured Gymnascella. RNAcentral's name for it is "sequence contains ITS1". The stretch from base 1 to 105 matches the Rfam family "5.8S ribosomal RNA", at positions 50 to 154 of the family's 154-position model. The record is from RNAcentral. Lineage: Eukaryota; Fungi; Ascomycota; Eurotiomycetes; Onygenales; Gymnoascaceae.
GAAAUGCGAUAAGUAAUGUGAAUUGCAGAAUUCCGUGAAUCAUCGAAUCUUUGAACGCACAUUGCGCCCUCUGGUAUUCCGGGGGGCAUGCCUGUCCGAGCGUCAUUGCACCAAUCAAGCCCGGCUUGUGUGAUGGGUCUUCAUUCGUCCCGAAUGGGGGACGGGCCCGAAAUGCAGUGGCGGCGUCGUGGUUAUCCAACGGCCUGAGUGUAUGGGGCUCUGUCACACGCUCACCAGCCAGGACCGGCGCCAGCCUACCAGUCUAUUCUUCUUAGGUUGACCUCGGAUCAGGUAGGGAUACCCGCUGAACUUAA